GGACAAUGAUGAAAAACGCUAACAAAAGACACCAUCUUUCGGGACUGAUUGGUGCAGUCAAUGUACCAUGUUGUCAAAUCUGCAAUACUGACGUCA
Molecule: small nucleolar RNA, 96 nt
Organism: Lolium rigidum
Lineage: Eukaryota; Viridiplantae; Streptophyta; Magnoliopsida; Poales; Poaceae
Product: small nucleolar RNA SNORD96 family
Exons: 1
Source: RefSeq, a predicted model, not a curated record